UUCAUGAACAGAUUUCCUAUUUUUUUCUUCUUCCAUUUUAACUUAAAUAAAAUAAAAGUUUCGCGCUUUCCGUAUAAAUAGGAACUAUCGAACGACCGAUCGGAAAGCAAUGCGAAGAUCGUGUAUCAUCGAUUAAUCGAAACGUACAAUUGAGAAGACGAUACUACGACGAUGAUGAGAACAACGGAGACAGCCGUGGCUCGUUCCGGAGGAUAGGCCACGGUGCUUCUGACCGGCACGUUAAACAACGCGAUCACUCUCGGCUACCUUCGGCACGGUUCGGGCGUAGCCAGGUGGAAGUCGGAUUAUGGAGAUGGAAAAGUAGCAGCGGUAUCUAUGAUCGUACGUCGGUGUAUAAUCGUAUGGCAUGCGUCUACAAAGGGUCAAAUUAUUCACGACUUUGUCGUCUCCUACCCCGUUUUAUUUUCUUAAAUUUUAUUUUUGAUUUUUUUGGCACGCUUUCGGAACAACACAUUUGUACGUUGUUACACAUCGUUUUUCUGUAUGAAGUAUCUCUUUUUAUUACGUUUUCACUUUACUUUAAAGAAUUUUGAUGAUAAUUAGGAAUACGGAGUUUCAAACGUUUAUAGUCUGUCUAUCAUUGAUAUUUUACAAAGAAUUUUACAAAGAACUUACGAUUACCUUUAUGCGUUAUCUUUGUUUUAUAUUUAAGAAUACAAAUUAUCAACAAUUAAACGAUAAAGAAGAUUUGAAUCAUAUGCCAAUGAAAAUAAUAAACGACGUAUCAUUAAUGUUGAAAAUAUAUUUUUUACUUCGUUUAUGAUCAGUUUGUAUCAAUUUAUAUACGAUUGGAUGUAUACACAUAUUUUUGUUCUUUCUUUACAGCUAUAUAUCUUAUAAUAUACAUACUAAUGCAUAAAGUUGAUGGUGAAAUACAGUGAUCGCUUUACCGGAAAUGUUUAUCAUUUAACAUUCGUUCAACGUAAUAUGAAAUGUGUCUUUAUGUAACGAGAACAAUUUUGACAAUGAAUUCAGAUAGUAUACAUUUUGCUAGUAAUAAUUGUCAUUUUCUCAAACGAUUAAAAUUUUAAUAAAAUAUUUUAUCUAGGGACGUAACAGUAAUGAAAUUUUCACCAAAGAAUUGUAUAAUAAACAUUUUCUUUUAAAAUUAUCUUACGAAUGUACAUUUCUUAUGUAUAAUACUUUUGAAAACUUUGUAGAUAAUACUUAUUAUACAGCGCAUUUUCAUUGUAAAUAAGAUAAUUACAUUAAUCAAGUAACAGCACUUUUUUUAUAAUAAGAAGCACGUACAACUUAUUGUAAUAGUAUAUAUUCUUCGUUGGCAUACAAAAUAUUUAUGAUAGCAUGUAAAGAUACUAUAUAUGACCUCAACAAAACGAGUACAAUUGUAUCUUUUAACGUAGUUUGAUUGAACUGUAAGAUACAAUCGAAUUUGAAAAAUAUAAAAAAUGAAGAAAAUAUGA
This is a long non-coding RNA of Vespa crabro (European hornet), 1445 nucleotides long. RefSeq lists it as uncharacterized. Lineage: Eukaryota; Metazoa; Arthropoda; Insecta; Hymenoptera; Vespidae. The record is from RefSeq and is a predicted model, not a curated record. The transcript is spliced from 2 exons.